This 98-nucleotide microRNA precursor is filed under the name Callithrix jacchus (white-tufted-ear marmoset). RNAcentral's name for it is "mir-544 microRNA precursor family". It matches the Rfam family "mir-544 microRNA precursor family". Lineage: Eukaryota; Metazoa; Chordata; Mammalia; Primates; Cebidae. The record is from Rfam by way of RNAcentral.
AAUCCCUAAGGAUCUUGUUAAAAUGCAGAUUCUAAUCCAGUAUGUCUGAGAAGGGGCCUGAAAAUCUGCAUUUCUAACAAGCUCCUAGGGGAUGUUGA